CGGGCUUAACACAUGCAAGUCGAACGAGAAGCUCCGGGCUUGCCCGGGGUGGAAAGUGGCGCACGGGUGAGUAACGCGUAGGCAAUCUACCCUCAGCAGGGGAACAACCCCGCGAAAGCGGAGCUAAUACCCCAUAAUGUCCCUUGGUCGCAUGACCUCGGGAUCAAAGUUCAGGCGGCUGAGGAUGAGCCUGCGUUAGAUUAGCUAGUUGGUGGGGUAACGGCCCACAAAGGCAACGAUCUAUAGCGGGUCUGAGAGGAUGAUCCGCCACACUGGCACUGAGACACGGGCCAGACUCCUACGGGAGGCAGCAGUGAGGAAUAUUGCGCAAUGGACGAAAGUCUGACGCAGCCACGCCGCGUGCAGGAAGACACCCCUUCGGGGCGUAAACUGCUUUUAUAUGGGAAGAACACCCCGCACCGUUGCGGGGUCUGACGGUACCAUACGAAUAAGGACCGGCUAACUCCGUGCCAGACAG
RNAcentral lists this ribosomal RNA (478 nucleotides) under uncultured bacterium. Its description in RNAcentral is "bacterial SSU rRNA". It matches the Rfam family "Bacterial small subunit ribosomal RNA", at positions 43 to 514 of the family's 1533-position model. RNAcentral also lists the same sequence under 1 other name. The record is from RNAcentral.